Molecule: ribosomal RNA, 492 nt
Filed under: uncultured bacterium
Lineage: Bacteria
Description: partial 16S ribosomal RNA
Rfam family: Bacterial small subunit ribosomal RNA
Source: RNAcentral
AGUGAACGCUGGCGGUAGGCCUAACACAUGCAAGUCGAACGGCAGCACAGUAAGAGCUUGCUCUUACGGGUGGCGAGUGGCGGACGGGUGAGGAAUACAUCGGAAUCUACUUUUUCGUGGGGGAUAACGUAGGGAAACUUACGCUAAUACCGCAUACGACCUACGGGUGAAAGCAGGGGAUCUUCGGACCUUGCGCGUUUGAAUGAGACGAUGUCGGAUUAGCUAGUUGGCGGGGUAAAGGCCCACCAAGGCGACGAUCCGUAGCUGGUCUGAGAGGAUGAUCAGCCACACUGGAACUGAGACACGGUCCAGACUCCUACGGGAGGCAGCAGUAGGGAAUAUUGGACAAUGGGCGCAAGCCUGAUCCAGCCAUACCGCGUGGGUGAAGAAGGCCUUCGGGAUGUAAAGCCCUUUUGUUGGGAAAGAAAAGCAGCAGGUUAAUACCCCGCUGUUCUGACGGUACCCAAAGAAUAAGCACCGGCUAACUUCGUG